GGGGUGACAAAUCCUGGAUACAGGAAUUACUACGCCACGUUCUCCGGCUUGUCGUACCAAGUGCCCCUGUUCCUGCUGAACGUGGUCAGUCUGGUGGCGCUGCGAAACAAAGGCGCGUGUCCCACCUGGACUGUCAUCAGUCUCAUGUCCCUGGUAGCUCUGCUUAUCGGCACUGUCGUCCUCGCCAUGUUUGACACGUCCACGUGGAUAGACGUCUUCUUCGGCGUUACCAUGGGUACUGUCUUACUACUCGGAAUCUUCACGGGCGUAUACAUGAGCAAUAUUUUUGGUUUGUCGGCAAUAUUUCCUAAGAAUUACACAAGCGUUUUAAUUAUGGG
This is a long non-coding RNA of Liolophura sinensis, 338 nucleotides long. RefSeq lists it as uncharacterized. The transcript is spliced from 4 exons. NCBI's taxonomy places the organism in Eukaryota, Metazoa, Mollusca, Polyplacophora, Chitonida, Chitonidae. The record is from RefSeq and is a predicted model, not a curated record.